UACGUAGGGGGCGAGCGUUGUCCGGAAUUAUUGGGCGUAAAGAGCGUGUAGGCGGUUCGGUAAGUCUGGCGUGAAAACCUGGGGCUCAACCCCGGGCGUGCGGUGGAUACUGCCGGGCUAGAGGGUGGUAGAGGCGAGUGGAAUUCCCGGUGUAGCGGUGAAAUGCGCAGAUAUCGGGAGGAACACCAGUAGCGAAGGCGGCUCGCUGGGCCAUUCCUGACGCUGAGACGCGAAAGCUAGGGGAGCGAACAGG
This 253-nucleotide ribosomal RNA is filed under the name uncultured bacterium. Its description in RNAcentral is "partial 16S ribosomal RNA". It matches the Rfam family "Bacterial small subunit ribosomal RNA", at positions 524 to 776 of the family's 1533-position model. The record is from RNAcentral.